RNAcentral lists this ribosomal RNA (153 nucleotides) under uncultured bacterium. RNAcentral's name for it is "partial 16S ribosomal RNA". The record is from RNAcentral.
GCGGGUACCGUCAAUCCGUCAAGGUUAUUAACCUUAACGCCUUCCUCCCCACUGAAAGUACUUUACAACCCGAAGGCCUUCUUCAUACACGCGGCAUGGCUGCAUCAGGCUUGCGCCCAUUGUGCAAUAUUCCCCACUGCUGCCUCCCGUAGG